RNAcentral lists this ribosomal RNA (510 nucleotides) under uncultured bacterium. RNAcentral's name for it is "partial 16S ribosomal RNA". It matches the Rfam family "Bacterial small subunit ribosomal RNA", at positions 28 to 507 of the family's 1533-position model. The record is from RNAcentral.
GACGAACGCUGGCAGCGUGCUUAACACAUGCAAGUCGAACGAAGAGCGACGGAGGCUUGCUUCCAUCCAUCUUAGUGGCGAGCGGGAGAGAAACGCGUAAAAAACCUGCCCAUGAGAGGGGGACAAUCGGCGGAAACGACCGAAAAUACCGCAUAAGAUCUAAUCUCGGCAUCGAGGAGGGAUGAAAGGUGGUGUCGACACGUAAGGAAGCACUGAAGGCGGAGAAUGCGGCUGAUUAGGUAGUUGGGUGGGAAACGGACCACCAAGGCGAGGAUCAGUAGCCGGUCUGGAGGGAGGGACGGCCACAUUUGGACUGGGACACGGCCCCGGCUCCUACCGGAGGCAGCCGUUGGGAAUCUUUCGGCAUGGACGGAAGGCUGGCGGGGCAACGCCGCGGUGGUGAUGACGGCUCUCGGGUUGUUAAGCUCCGUUUAUCGGGACGAAAGGACUUCUUGCGAAUAGUGAGAAGGAUUGACGGUACCGGAAUAGAAAGCCACGGCUAACUACGUG